RNAcentral lists this ribosomal RNA (2071 nucleotides) under human gut metagenome. RNAcentral describes it as "bacterial LSU rRNA". It matches the Rfam family "Bacterial large subunit ribosomal RNA", at positions 829 to 2925 of the family's 2925-position model. The record is from RNAcentral.
CCAAUCGAACCCGGAGAUAGCUGGUUCUCCUCGAAAUAGCUUUAGGGCUAGCCUCAUGAGAGUCUUAUGGAGGUAGAGCACUGAAUUGCCUAGGGGGCGUCAAAGCUUACCAAAGCAUAUCAAACUCCGAAUGCCAUCAAGAUGAUUCAUGGGAGUCAGACCAUACGAGAUAAGUUGGAUGGUCAAAAGGGAAAGAGCCCAGACCUACAGCUAAGGUCCCAAAGUGCGUGUUAAGUGGAAAAGGAUGUGGGGAUUCUAAGACAACUAGGACGUUGGCUUAGAAGCAGCCAUUCAUUGAAAGAGUGCGUAAUAGCUCACUAGUCGAGAGUCCCUGCGCCGAAAAUGUCCGGGGCUGAAACACGACACCGAAGCUUAGGAAUGUGUAAACAUUGGUAGAGGAGCAUUGCUAGCGGGAUGAAGCCAUACCGUAAGGAGUGGUGGACUGCUAGGAAGAGAGAAUGCCGGAAUGAGUAGCGAGAUGAAGGUGAGAAUCCUUCAGGCCGAAUAUCUAAGGUUUCCAGAGUAAAGCUGAUCUGCUCUGGGUAAGUCGGGACCUAAGGCGAGGUCGAAAGACGUAGUCGAUGGAUAACAGGUUGAAAUUCCUGUACCGCAUAUAAACAGAACUGUGGGGACACAGACAGGGAAUGGAAUCCGGGAAUGGAUAUCCCGGUGCAAGCGAGGUAGGAGUGCUGUUGGCAAAUCCGCAGCACGAUCUGAAGACGUGACGCGUACCGAACAUAAGUAGGGAAGUCCAGGCCCCUGGCUGUCAAGAAAAGCCGCUAUCGUUUUAUAUGUGCCCGUACCGCAAACCGACACAGGUGGAUGAGGAGAGAAUCCUAAGGCCGACGGGAGAAGUAUUGUUAAGGAACUCGGCAAAAUGACUCCGUAACUUCGGGAGAAGGAGUGCCAUGUAAAAGUGGCCGCAGAGAAUUGGCCCAAGCAACUGUUUAGCAAAAACACAGGUCUAUGCAAAACCGAAAGGUGAGGUAUAUGGGCUGACGCCUGCCCGGUGCUGGAAGGUUAAGGGGAGAGGUUAGUCGUAAGGCGAAGCUUUGAACUUAAGCCCCAGUAAACGGCGGCCGUAACUAUAACGGUCCUAAGGUAGCGAAAUUCCUUGUCGGGUAAGUUCCGACCCGCACGAAAGGCGUAAUGAUUUGGGCACUGUCUCAACGAUACACCCGGUGAAAUUGAAAUACCAGUGAAGAUGCUGGUUACCUGCGCCAGGACGGAAAGACCCCAUGGAGCUUUACUCCAGUUUGAUACUGGGAUUCGGCAUGGUAUGUACAGGAUAGGUGGGAGACUGAGAAGGUAUGACGUCAGUUGUACCGGAGUCGCUGUUGGGAUACCACCCUUACCAUGUUGGAUUUCUAACCUGUGGCCGUGAUCCGGUCAGGGGACAAUGUCAGGCGGGGAGUUUGACUGGGGCGGUCGCCUCCGAAAGGGUAUCGGAGGCGCUCAAAGGUUCCCUCAGAAUGGUUGGAAACCAUUCGAAGAGUGCAAAGGCAGAAGGGAGCUUGACUGCGACACCGACGGGUGGAGCAGGUACGAAAGUAGGGCUUAGUGAUCCGGUGGUAUUAAGUGGGAAUGCCAUCGCUCAACGGAUAAAAGCUACCCUGGGGAUAACAGGCUUAUCACUCCCAAGAGUUCACAUCGACGGAGUGGUUUGGCACCUCGAUGUCGGCUCAUCGCAUCCUGGAGCUGUAGCAGGUUCCAAGGGUUGGGCUGUUCGCCCAUUAAAGCGGUACGCGAGCUGGGUUCAGAACGUCGUGAGACAGUUCGGUCCCUAUCCGGCGCAGGCGGAGGAAAUUUGAUAGGAGCUGUCCUUAGUACGAGAGGACCGGGAUGGACGGACCGCUGGUGUAUCUGUUGUACUGCCAAGUGCAUAGCAGAGUAGCCAAGUCUGGAAGGGAUAAACGCUGAAGGCAUCUAAGCGUGAAGCCCCCCUAAAGAUAAGAUUUCCCAUACCAUAAGGUAGUAAGACCCCUUGAAGACGACGAGGUAGAUAGGGCAGAGGUGGAAGUACGGUAACGUAUGGAGCUGACUGUUACUAAUCGGUCGAGGCUUUAACCAA